AACGAACGCUGGCGGCAGGCCUAACACAUGCAAGUCGAACGCUCCGCAAGGGGAGUGGCGCACGGGUGAGUAACACGUGGGAACCUACCUUCUGGUACGGAACAACCAAGGGAAACUUUGGCUAAGACCGUAUACGACCUCCGGGUGAAAGAUUGAUCGCCGGAAGAGGGGCCCGCGUCCGAUUAGGUAGUUGGUGAGGUAACGGCUCACCAAGCCUUCGAUCGGUAGCUGGUCUGAGAGGAUGACCAGCCACACUGGGACUGAGACACGGCCCAGACUCCUACGGGAGGCAGCAGGUGGGGAAUAUUGGACAAUGGGCGCAAGCCUGAUCCAGCCAUGCCGCGUGAGUGAUGAAGGCCUUCGGUUGUAA
RNAcentral lists this ribosomal RNA (370 nucleotides) under uncultured bacterium. RNAcentral describes it as "bacterial SSU rRNA". It matches the Rfam family "Bacterial small subunit ribosomal RNA", at positions 29 to 428 of the family's 1533-position model. The record is from RNAcentral.